CUUUAGCCCCGAUUGAAGCUUUGUUUGAGCUCAUUUUUAGUUUUCGGAGCGGCGGCGAAGCCGCCGCUCCGAAAACUAAAAAUAGCGAGUGCGGAAAGCGGGAAACAGC
Molecule: unclassified non-coding RNA, 109 nt
Filed under: Chryseobacterium profundimaris
Lineage: Bacteria; Pseudomonadati; Bacteroidota; Flavobacteriia; Flavobacteriales; Weeksellaceae
Description: Flavo-1 RNA
Source: RNAcentral